Molecule: ribosomal RNA, 378 nt
Filed under: uncultured eukaryote
Lineage: Eukaryota
Description: partial 18S ribosomal RNA
Rfam family: Eukaryotic small subunit ribosomal RNA
Source: RNAcentral
CAAUAGCGUAUAUUAAAGUUGUUGCAGUUAAAAAGCUCGUAGUUGGAUUUGUGGUUCGUCCCGCCGGCUGGGUCAUUGACUUUUGCUGUGCUGGUCGUCCAUCCUUGGGUGGAAUCUGUGUGGCAUUAGGUUGUCGCGCAGGGGAUGCCCAUCGCUUACUGUGAAAAAAUUAGAGUGUUCAAAGCAGGCUUAUGCCGUUGAAUAUAUUAGCAUGGAAUAAUGAUAUAGGACCUUGGUACUAUUUUGUUGGUUUGCGCACUGAGGUAAUGAUUAAUAGGGACAGUUGGGGGUAUUCGUAUUCCAUUGUAAGAGGUGAAAUUCUUGGAUUUUUGGAAGACGAACUACUGCGAAAGCAUUUACCAAGGAUGUUUUCAUUAA